UGACCUUUAGCUCAGUUGGUUAGAGCAGACGGCUCAUAACCGUCCGGUCGCAGGUUCGGGUCCUGCAAGGUCCA
Molecule: transfer RNA, 74 nt
Filed under: Listeria monocytogenes
Lineage: Bacteria; Bacillati; Bacillota; Bacilli; Caryophanales; Listeriaceae
Description: tRNA-Met
Rfam family: tRNA
About the family: Transfer RNA (tRNA) molecules are approximately 80 nucleotides in length. Their secondary structure includes four short double-helical elements and three loops (D, anti-codon, and T loops). Further hydrogen bonds mediate the characteristic L-shaped molecular structure. tRNAs have two regions of fundamental functional importance: the anti-codon, which is responsible for specific mRNA codon recognition, and the 3' end, to which the tRNAs corresponding amino acid is attached (by aminoacyl-tRNA synthetases). tRNAs cope with the degeneracy of the genetic code in two manners: having more than one tRNA (with a specific anti-codon) for a particular amino acid; and 'wobble' base-pairing, i.e. permitting non-standard base-pairing at the 3rd anti-codon position.
Source: RNAcentral